This 2467-nucleotide small RNA is filed under the name Oryza sativa Japonica Group (Japanese rice). RNAcentral describes it as "sRNA Os03g0394001". The record is from RNAcentral. Lineage: Eukaryota; Viridiplantae; Streptophyta; Magnoliopsida; Poales; Poaceae.
UUUGUGUCGCGACUCCGCCCAAAUCAUUGGUUAUCAUAACCUUUCGGAAGAUCUGGUUCUCAGAACCUUUCGAAAGAUCGGGAACCCUAGUCCACAUCAACUAGACCACUUGGCCCCUUGUUACGUCUUUGCCAGCGGGUAAUAGUAGAGGAUGUCCUCAUCAUUCCCACCCCCUUAAACAAGGGCCCGGGUCUGAUACCAAAUGAUGCAUCCGGCCAGGUGGGGUUGCCGAGGCCCAAUAACUUAAGGUUGCCCAGACCCCCAACAGUUCUUAGGCACACCCACUCGGGGAAAGGCCCAAUCUCCCUAAAAGACUAGUCCAAUAGGAAAAGGGUGGCUCUCCCUUUUAAGGUGGCUUCCUCCUCCCAAGCUAAGCAAGGUGGGAUUAUUCAGAGGCUCAAACGGUCGCCGCCCGACUACAACUGGACCACUUGACCCCUUGUUGCGUCUUUGCCAGCGGGUAAUGGUGGGAGAUGUCCUCAUCACCAGAUCUAUCCUGAAUUCUAUAUCUCUCUUAGGCGGUAUGCCACGUAGAUCAACUGGGAACACAUUUGGAUAGUCCCGCACUUUGGGAAACUGUUGCAAAGUUAUCUGAUUCAAACUCAAUCUUGAGGGUUUAGUAGGUACUACAUGAACAGUUACAACUUGUCCAAGGUUGCUGGUAAGGGUUACUUUUCUAUUGGCACAGUCUAUCACCCCUUUUUAUCGUGCUAACCAGUCCAUCCCUAGGAUGACAUCAAGGUCUUUGGAUUCUAGUAUAAUAAGGUUGGCUAGAAAUAGAAUACCUUUAAUUUCUAUUCUGACAAAAGGGCUACGUUGCGAUGAGAGUGCUUGAUUGCUGAGGGUACUAACCAACAAAGAAUGCCUAAAUUUUCUAUCUCCAUCCCACGACUUCUCGUAGAAUUGUUAGACAAAAAGGAAUGUGUAGCACCUGAAUCAAAAAGUAUUGCUUCAGGAACUGAGUUAGCAGGGAACAUACUCGAAAUCACAUCUGGUGCGCCUUGAGCUUCUGCGGCAGCAACAUGAUUGACACGAGCCUUCGGUGCUGGUGCAAUGGACUUGUUCUGAAUAGGGGCAGUCUCCACACGUCGAGGUUUCGGACACUUGUCAGCAAAAUGGCCUGGCUCAUCAUAGUUGAAGCACACCACUGGCAUGUUUCCUUGCUCCUUGAUAGGCUGGUUCUGGACUGGAGUUACAGCUAGACGUGGAGCCAAGUUACGAUUAUUAUUGCCACUGCCAAUAUCGUUGUUAUAGAAUUGGCGUUGCGGACGAACAGCUGAAGAAGACCCUCCCUGUGGUGUUGUCUAAGGCCCCAUGGCAAUGCGCGGCCUCUGGUUGUUCCCUUGCUGAGCCUUGACGUGAGCAAUCUUGUGUUUCUUCUCUUCCAUUCGGUUGUACUUGUCUUCCUGGCGAAUAGCCUUGUCCACCAACUUCUGGAAAUCAGAAAAAUCACUAGACAUCAGUGGGAAAGAUAACUCAUCAUUCAGUCCUUCCAAGAACUUCUCUUGACGCACCUCGUCCAUGCAAACAUCCUCAGGAGCAUAACGGGCCAGACAAUUGAACUCAUGCAGAAACUCGGUGAUAGAACAAGAUCUCAGAGUGAGUGCCCUGAACUCCCUCUUCUUGAGAGCCACCACUCCCGAUGGUACAUGAAUCUUCUUGAAAGCAACAGUAAACUCGAGCCAAGUGAUUGGCUCAACAACAACCCUAUUGAGACGGAAAUGGUCCCACCAAUCAGAGGAAGGGCCAUGAAGCUGGUGUGAAGCAAAGGAGACCUUCUCCUGGUCAACGCAUUGAAGCAAGUCCAGCUUCUUUUCUAUGGCAUGCAACCAAUCACCAACCUCAACUGGAUUGGUAGUGCUGGAAAAAGUGGGUGGCCUCACACACAAAAAUUCUGCUAACUAGUUCUAAGGAGGAGCAUGAUUGUUCCCUUGGUUUUGUUGGUUCUGUAUCUAUUGCAUCAUCAAGUUCAUGAGUUGAGUCUGCUGAGCUAGGACUUGAGAAAGCAUUGGGUUUUCUCCAUUGUUGUUGGACCCACUUCGAGUGUUGUGAUUGCUCACCAUUUGACAUAAGCAAGAGCACAAGGAGAGAAACAAAGGGGAGAACAACUUAGAACAAAGAAUUAUUUUUUACUAACUUGACUUUUAUUGAUCUGAACUGAGUACUAUUAUCAUAUAUAACUGAAAGACUCUCACCACUUAAUUCUCAAAAGCAAACAAACCAUGCAGCUACAUCCCACCAACGAUGUAGACCACACGCAAGACCCACACUCAUAAGCAAACUUAAACAAGUAGACUAACACAACGAACUAAGGCAACAAUCUAACAAGACGUCUAGGUCUGCCUGGCAUCGGAGUUGACUGAAGGAUCUCCUUCAUCAUCUUGAGAAGCACCCCACUCAACCUCUGAAUGAGUGCGGUUCUCCUUUGAGUCUUCUUCCUCAAUCAUCGCUCAGAAUAAUGAUAGGA